RNAcentral lists this small RNA (230 nucleotides) under Vigna angularis var. angularis. Its description in RNAcentral is "Non-protein coding transcript". The record is from RNAcentral. Lineage: Eukaryota; Viridiplantae; Streptophyta; Magnoliopsida; Fabales; Fabaceae.
UAAUGAUCAACAGCACUAAGUUUUAUUCUAAAGUAGUUAUCUGAUCUCAAUUUGGCAUUGCUAAAUAAGCAACUAGUCUGUAACCUACCAACAUCAUGGCCAUUAUAGACACAUCCACCCACAAGUGGUUCAAACCCACUGAUUUUAUUGGAGGAAAUUCUCCAACCUUGCACAAGACCCCUUUUGAGCACUCAUAAUAAUCAUCAUCCAUGUACUGCACACCAACAAGA